RNAcentral lists this ribosomal RNA (204 nucleotides) under uncultured bacterium. RNAcentral's name for it is "partial 16S ribosomal RNA". It matches the Rfam family "Bacterial small subunit ribosomal RNA", at positions 568 to 772 of the family's 1533-position model. The record is from RNAcentral.
CUCGUAGGCGGCCAACUAAGUCAGACGUGAAAUCCCCAGGCUCAACCUGGGAACUGCGUCUGAUACUGGAUGGCUUGAAUCCGGGAGAGGGAUGCAGAAUUCCAGGUGUAGCGGUGAAAUGCGUAGAUAUCUGGAGGAAUACCGGUGGCGAAGGCGGCAUCCUGGACCGGCAUUGACGCUGAGGAGCGAAAGCCAGGGAGCAAC